Non-coding RNA from Mycena latifolia, 95 nucleotides. Lineage: Eukaryota; Fungi; Basidiomycota; Agaricomycetes; Agaricales; Mycenaceae. The record is from the annotation of a GenBank genome assembly.
GGCCUGGUGGUGUGGUGGUUUACACGUCUGCUUUAUAUGGAGAAGAAUCCAGUGAUGUUUAGCAGGAGUUCUUCGUUCAAUUCGAGGCCGGGCCA